This 498-nucleotide ribosomal RNA is filed under the name uncultured Pseudomonas sp. RNAcentral's name for it is "bacterial SSU rRNA". It matches the Rfam family "Bacterial small subunit ribosomal RNA", at positions 103 to 596 of the family's 1533-position model. The record is from RNAcentral. Lineage: Bacteria; Pseudomonadati; Pseudomonadota; Gammaproteobacteria; Pseudomonadales; Pseudomonadaceae.
CGGGUGAGUAAAGCCUAGGAAUCUGCCUGGUAGUGGGGGGAUAACGUUCGGAAACGGACGCUAAUACCGCAUACGUCCUACGGGAGAAAGCAGGGGACCUUCGGGCCUUGCGCUAUCAGAUGAGCCUAGGUCGGAUUAGCUAGUUGGUGAGGUAAUGGCUCACCAAGGCGAUGAUCCGUAACUGGUCUGAGAGGAUGAUCAGUCACACUGGAACUGAGACACGGUCCAGACUCCUACGGGAGGCAGCAGUGGGGAAUAUUGGACAAUGGGCGAAAGCCUGAUCCAGCCAUGCCGCGUGUGUGAAGAAGGUCUUCGGAUUGUAAAGCACUUUAAGUUGGGAGGAAGGGCAUUAACCUAAUACGUUAGUGUUUUGACGUUACCGACAGAAUAAGCACCGGCUAACUCUGUGCCAGCAGCCGCGGUAAUACAGAGGGUGCAAGCGUUAAUCGGAAUUACUGGGCGUAAAGCGCGCGUAGGUGGUUUGUUAAGUUGGAUGUG